GCCGAAGUGGUGGAAUUGGCAGACGCGCUAGAUUCAGGGUCUAGUGAGCUUCUCGCUCGUGCAGGUUCAAGUCCUGUCUUCGGCACCA
Molecule: transfer RNA, 88 nt
Filed under: Bacillota bacterium
Lineage: Bacteria; Bacillati; Bacillota
Also listed under: 3 other names
Description: tRNA-Leu
Rfam family: tRNA
About the family: Transfer RNA (tRNA) molecules are approximately 80 nucleotides in length.
Source: RNAcentral